RNAcentral lists this microRNA precursor (61 nucleotides) under Melibe leonina. Its description in RNAcentral is "microRNA mle-mir-263a precursor". Its record names the gene mle-mir-263a. Lineage: Eukaryota; Metazoa; Mollusca; Gastropoda; Nudibranchia; Dendronotidae. The record is from miRBase by way of RNAcentral.
AAUGGCACUGGUAGAAUUCACGGUUUGCUUUAAAAACUCCGUGUUCUUCCGGUGGCAUCUA